Molecule: long non-coding RNA, 5299 nt
Organism: Exaiptasia diaphana
Lineage: Eukaryota; Metazoa; Cnidaria; Anthozoa; Actiniaria; Aiptasiidae
Exons: 2
Source: RefSeq, a predicted model, not a curated record
AAAUGUUCAGGUCAUUGACUGUAAUAUUGAGCGAUUUAUUGAUAAACAUUGUUCAUCAGACGCUCGCCACUAAAGUAAAUGGCCCAAACCUUCCCAGAGACACAGAGUAAAAUUUAAUACACUUGUAUAUGUGGACAGAACUAAGCCAGGAUGUCCAUUGCCAGAGGGAUUCUUUCUGUCAGGGCUUCCACCAAGUGCCACUAUUAUAGUACCUCAUCUGUCCCCCAUAAGAUGUCUUGACAUGUCAACAUUGCUUCAAGAUGCCAUCUAUGUCAUUCUAUUGCUGAGUGUCUUUGUGAACCAUGUCAGUAUUGAAAUAAGAUGUCACCCUUAUAUUGCCAUUCUAGCCUGAAGUAAAAAUUCAGUGUAUGUUCCAGCAAUUGCAGGUGAAGGAAGAUGGCCUCCCAACUCCCCUUCUAGCCAUCCCAUACCCCCCUCUAGUGUGAAGUAGUCAGAUGCUAUCUUGAGAUAAGAAUAAAAGAAGAGUGCUUUUGUCAAAACCUGUGAUCAGGAGCCUACAGUACUACCACAUUACCAUUACCAGAGGUUCUUGCACUGUACCAUGAUACCAGAGGUGGUCGUCCUAUACCUGUGUGUUGUAUUUUACUUUGUAUUUCUGCAAAUUUUCAGGUCAUUGACUCUAAUAUUGAGCGGUUUAUUGAUAAACAUUUGUUCAUCAGACGCUCGCCACUAAAGUAAAUAACCCAAACCUUCCCAGAGACGCAGAGUAAAAUUCAAUACACCUGCAUGUGGACAGAACUAAGCCAGGAUGUCCAUUGCCAGAGGGAUUCUUUCUGUCAGGGCUUUCACCAAGUACCAUUAUUAUAGUACAUCGUCCUUCCCCCGGCCAUAAGAUGUCUUGCCAUGUCAACAUUGCUUCAAGAUGUCCUCCAUGUCAUUCUAUUGCAGAAUGUCUUUGUGAACCAUGUCAGUAUUGCAAUAAGAUGUCAUCCUUAUAUUGCCAUUCUAUCCAGAAGUAGAAAUCCAGUUAUGUUCCAGCAAUUGUUGGUGAAAGAAGAUGGCCUCCCUACUCCCCUUCUAGCCAUCCCAUACCCCCCCUCUAGUGUGAAGUAGCCAGAUGCUAUCUUGAGAAAGGAAUAAAAGGCGUGUUUUUGUCAAAACAUCAGAUCAGGAGCCUAUAGUACUACCACGUUGCCAUUGCCAGAAGUUCUUCCACUGUACCAGGAUACCAGAGGUGGUCGUCCUAUACCUGUGUGUUUGUAUUUUACUUUGUAUUUCUGCAAAUGUUCAGGUCAUCGACUCUAAUAUUGAGCGAUUUAUUGAUAAACAUUUGUUCAUCAGACGCUCGCCACUAAAGUAAAUGGACUAAACCUUCCCAGAGAGACAGAGUAAAAUUCAAUACACCUGUACGUGGACAGAACUAAACUAGGAUGUCCAUUGCCAAAGGGAUUCUUGAUGUCAGGGCUUCCACCAAGUGCCAUUAUAACACUACAUUGUCUUUCCCCCAUAAGAUGUCUUGCCAUAUCAACAUUGCUUCAAGAUGUCCUCCAUGUCAUUCUAUUGCAUAGUGUCUGUGUGAACCAUGUCAGCAUUGCAAUCCAUUCUAGCCAGAAGUAGAAAUUCAGUGUAUGUUCAAGCCAAUGUCGGUGUAAGAAGAUGGCCUCCCAACUCCCCUUCUAGCCAUCCCAUACCCCCCUCUAAUGAAAAGUAGACAGAUGCUAUCUUGAGAUAGGAAUAACAGGAGUGUUUUUGUCAAAACUUGCGAUCAGGAGACUACAGUACUACCACAUUACCAUUACCAGAGGUUCUUGUGCUGUACCAUGAUACCAGAGGUGGUCGUCCUAUACCUGUAUAUUCUAUUUUACUUUGCAUUUCUGCAAAUUUUCAGGUCAUUGACUCUAAUAUUGAGCGAUUUAUUGAUAAACAUUUGUUCAUCAGACGUUCGCCACUAAAGUAAAUGGCCCAAACCUUCCCAGAGACACAGAGUAAAAUUCAAUACACUUGUAUAUGUGGACAGAACUAAGCCAGGAUGUCCAUUUCCAGAGGGAUUCUUUCUGUCAGGGCUUGUACCAGAACUAUACCAGGAUGUCCAUUGCCAAGGGGUUUCUUGCUGUCAGGGCUUCCACCAAGUGCCAUUAUUAUACUACAUUGUCUUGCCCCCAUAGAUGUCUUGCCAUAUCAACAUUGCUUCAAGAUGUACUCCAUGUCAUUCUAUUGCAGAGCGUCUUUGUGAACCAUGUCAACACAACAAUAAGAUGCCAUCCUUAUAUUGCCAUUCUAUCCAGAAGUAGAAAUCCAGUUAUGUUCCAGCAAUUGUCGGUGUAAGAAGAUGGUCUCCCAACUCCCCUUCUAGCCAUCCCAUACCCCCCUCUAAUGAAAAGUAGACAGAUGCUAUCUUGAGAUAGGAAUAACAGGAGUGUUUUUGUCAAAACUCGAGAUCAGGAGCCAAUAGUACUACCAUUUUGCCAUUGCCAGAGGUUCUUGUGCUUGACCAUUUGAUACCAGAGGUGGUCGUCCUAUACCUGUAUAUUCUAUUUUACUUUGCAUUUCUGAAAAUGUGCAGGUCAUUGACUCUAAUAUUGAGCGAUUUAUUGAUAAACAUUUGUUUACCAGGAUGUCAUCCUUACGAUGUUAUUCCAGACAGUUUUUUCUAAUUCUAUACACCUGCAUGUGGACAGAACUUAGCCAGGAUGUCAUACUUAUCAUGCUAUUCCAGUCAGUCGUUUUAUUGCCAUGUUGCUAAUAGGUGACGUCACCAUUUCAUUCUGUUGCAAAGUGUCUUCCUGGACCCCUUCCAUAUUUUGCCAAUCCAGGGUGUUAAGAAAUACCAUUCCAUCAAUGCUUAAGCCAGUUAACUUGUUAGCAUUGGUUUUUUCAAGAUUGCCGUAGUUGGUACAGACAAAGCAUAGUUUUCAAAGGCAUGUUAAAAUGCCAGCAUUAUAAGUCCAUUGCUUACCAAUUUUACCUUUGAAAUAAGCAAAGCUUAAAGACAUCUCAUUUAGUUAAUUAUAGUUAUAUUUUUAUUUUUAUUUAGAUUUGUAGCUAAGGGGGCUAUUAAACUUAAUUAUUUUWURUUUAAUWAUUUUAUAGGUUUGAGAUUGUUUAGUAUUUCUCUCCACUCUUCACACUUUUAAAGUUUYACUGGUGAAAUGCCUUUAAGCUUUGCUUAGAUAAAAGACAAAUUCUGGAAGCRUAAUGACUAUCACUGAAUAAGUGACAAGUAAUAAUGUAAAACUCCAUCCAAAAGACAUCGUAUGUGAUUCACAGACCACUUUGAGUACUUGCCGRUAAUGCAAGUUAUUACGAGUCUGACUUUCAAAAACAAACUUCCAUUUUCCCAAAAACUGAUUUUCAUCAUCAUCACAUCAAGUAUAAACAGGCAUCAAAUAUUUGCCUAAAUAUUGUGAGUAGCGAGUAAAGAAUUUGAGAAAAAGAUGAAAGUAAAAGAGAUAAUUGUUUGAUUUGCUUUUAUCCACCGCUAUCCUGUGGUCUUUAUCAAUCCUCUUAUGCUGUGUCAAUCAUCUUGUGUCCUUUUCUGCUCCAUGCAAAUGGUAUGAAAUCAUAUUCGAUUGGUUGGUCUUGUCCUGUGAAUGGUUUCUUUCUGUUUGAAAUACAUUCAUCCAUAGUGUAAUGUAUCUGCUGCUGGUCACCCUUCUGCUGUAAUUUCAGGUGAUAUUAUAAGGUUGUUCUUAGGCUGGUACAUUAAACAUUUUCUCAGGUUUGUGCCAUUUUCUGAGGUGUUUUCAUGAUUAAUACAAUUUGUUAUGAGCUCUUCUACUUUUCAUCUGCUAAUUUAUUAGUAGGCUGUGUCACAAGACUAGAGGCUACUUCUAUAUUAUCAGCAACAGAGCAAGAUCMUUUUCAUCUUAACCAUAGGAUUGUUGUAUUGAGGCCCCUGUAAAAGUACACUUUUGGUGUGUUUUCUGGUUCAGGCAUGUGUUAAUUCCUCUGUAUUUGGCUUACUACAACUAUAAUACUAACUCCAACUCAAUAACUGGUUCAUGUUAUGUUCUCCAUACCUUAAAGACCCAAGGCUAGUGGAGGGAAGGAGGUGCCUCAUUUCUCCAUUCUAGACCAUUGGUCCAAGUCAUCUGGCCUYGCCACUGCCCAAUCUCAACUACCAGUAUCUAUUUUGCACCAGACUGGAAGACCUGAAGGUUGCUGGACUAGGUGAUUGAUUAUUCUUCUCUUAGGUCAGCCAGGGCAUUUAGUGUUGUGGUGGUGCUCUCCUCUGGCAUGGAUGUCUGUUCAAUGUCAAUGUUAGUGCUGGCUAAUGCCUCCAUGUGUUCCAAUGAGCAUUGCUUGACUGGGGACUAUGUUGAUGUUGACUUGUUUAACCAUUUCGAUACGACCAUCUUAACUUCUCAUGGGUUAACUCAAUUCUGGUAUAACUAGGAAUUGCUGUAGGUACUAUAGGUGUGGCUGUAGAAACUGUACUGGUACUACUCCUUGUUGUCGCAUAGGCACUUGAUUGUGCUUGUAAUAUCUUCAAAACACAGCAUCAAAAAGUGURAAUCUUCCUCUUUAUUUGAAUGACAAACCAGGUUUAAAUGUGUUCUUUUAAGUCUUGCAGAGCGAUAAAACACAGUCUCUAUAUCUAAUAAAACUGAAUAAUACAAAAAUUAAGUAGCAAAUGCUCUGCUCUCUUAAUCAGAUUUUUGUUUCCUCAAUCCAUAUUCAAAACAUUGUCAAAAAUAUAUUAAUUUUCAAUACAAUUUCCAAAUUAAAAAUGACAAAUUUCCUUUUUAAUGCCAAUCAAUUCUCUCUGUAAACAAUCAGUUGAAUAUCAAAUUUCUAUAAACGUUUUAAAGUUUGAAUCAACUCUUCAAGCAUGUUAUUCAACAGCAAGUGAUYAAACGUCCACGACUGUAAACAAUCAUUUGUCAUCAUUUUUUGAAAAAUAUGCCUUUUCUCCAUCCACAUUACUUACCAAUACUUACAGUAAUCCUAAGGCAUGCCGAGCAAAUGAUCAUUAUUUACAAAUAAUAAGGGAAUGUUUUAUCUAUACAGCAGUCUGACUUACAGAAUAUAUCUAUGUACAAUGUUGUUUUACACUGUAGACUUAUUGAGAUUAUUAAUAGUCAGUCGUUAUAACUAAUUGCCACAAUUGGCUUUAUUGAUUCUGAAGCAAUAAUUACAUAGUAUCRGAAAAAAAUUCCUGCAUUAGGAAAAUCAGAUCACAAUCUAUAAUUCCAUGACCAGAAGCCAAGAGGUUUAGUAACAAUAAUAAAAUGCCAGGAAAAAUGCCAGGGAAAAGUGCCAGGAAUAAAUGCCAGGAAUAUCUUCAGAGGUCUURGUAUUUGUAAAAAUGCUGUUGAAUUUGAAAUUUAGUUAUCAA